UACCGGCGCUUGGAAGCCGCCGACGUCCGAUUGCCCGCCCGUCCCCCGCUUGGCAGUCGGACCCGGACAAAGGCCUUAUCCCCCUCUCCGGGCCUUUGUCCCCUCUUUCAGUGCCGCCAUGGCUCGCCUCCAGGCCAUGGCGGCCUCCC
Molecule: small RNA, 149 nt
Filed under: Gellertiella hungarica
Lineage: Bacteria; Pseudomonadati; Pseudomonadota; Alphaproteobacteria; Hyphomicrobiales; Rhizobiaceae
Description: Alphaproteobacterial sRNA ar7
Rfam family: Alphaproteobacterial sRNA ar7
Source: Rfam by way of RNAcentral